This 500-nucleotide ribosomal RNA is filed under the name uncultured bacterium. Its description in RNAcentral is "partial 16S ribosomal RNA". It matches the Rfam family "Bacterial small subunit ribosomal RNA", at positions 30 to 523 of the family's 1533-position model. The record is from RNAcentral.
AUUGAACGCUGGCGGAAUGCUUUACACAUGCAAGUCGAACGGCAGCACGGACUUCGGUCUGGUGGCGAGUGGCGAACGGGUGAGUAAUGUAUCGGAACGUGCCCAGUCGUGGGGGAUAAGGUAGUGAAAAUUACGCUAAUACCGCAUACGAUCUAUGGAUGAAAGCGGGGGAUCGCAAGACCUCGCGCGAUUGGAGCGGCCGAUAUCAGAUUAGGUAGUGGGUGGGGUAAAGGCCCACCAAGCCAACGAUCUGUAGCUGGUCUGAGAGGACGACCAGCCACACUGGAACUGAGACACGGUCCAGACUCCUACGGGAGGCAGCAGUGGGGAAUUUUGGACAAUGGGCGAAAGCCUGAUCCAGCCAUUCCGCGUGCAGGAUGAAGGCCCUCGGGUUGUAAACUGCUUUUGUACAGAACGAAAAGGUUUCUACUAAUACUAGGAGCUCAUGACGGUACUGUAAGAAUAAGCACCGGCUAACUACGUGCCAGCAGCCGCGGUAA